Sinocyclocheilus anshuiensis is the source of this 240-nucleotide long non-coding RNA. RefSeq lists it as uncharacterized. Lineage: Eukaryota; Metazoa; Chordata; Actinopteri; Cypriniformes; Cyprinidae. The record is from RefSeq and is a predicted model, not a curated record. The transcript has 3 exons.
CUGUGCUGAUUUCAGCAUUAUUUCCAUCUAAGAUCGCAAAAUAUGUGCAGAAUAUAGUGAAUUCCACACAAACUUCAGCUGACGAAUCACAGCAGAAUCAAAACACAGCAGAAAGACAUGAGGUGGAAGAACUGAUCUGAAGACCAUAAAGAAAGUCUGAUUCAGUGGAAUCACAAAUAUAAUCAGCAAAGAGAGAAAAUGAUUGUUCCAGAUAUAUCCCACACCAGUGUUGUCUAUUAA